This is a long non-coding RNA of Pyrgilauda ruficollis (rufous-necked snowfinch), 271 nucleotides long. RefSeq lists it as uncharacterized. The transcript has 2 exons. The record is from RefSeq and is a predicted model, not a curated record. NCBI's taxonomy places the organism in Eukaryota, Metazoa, Chordata, Aves, Passeriformes, Passeridae.
CAGAGGCUCAGGAAAACAAGUGGUGCAGUUGGAAGUGCCUGGCUCGUGUCCUGUCCAAACAGCGGCAUCGAUUCCCAGUAACUCCCUGCCUGCCCAAAGCCGGGACCAGUCCGGGUUUCCUGUGCAUUUUCCGGAGCUCCGCCAUGGUGCCGUUGAAGGUUUGCUGGGAACAGGGAACACAAAGGGAUCACUGAGCUCAGCUCGGCUCUCAGAGCACAGUUCUCACCUGUAAAAACUUUUUUCCUGAAAAAUAAAACCAAAUGCCUUCUCA